GUGUCAGCCGCCGCGGUAAGACGGAGGGUGCAAGCGUUGUUCGGAAUCACUGGGCGUAAAGCGCGUGUAGGCGGUUGGACAAGUCGGAUGUGAAAGCCCGGAGCUCAACUUCGGAAGUGCAUUCGAAACUGUCCAGCUAGAGUACGGGAGAGGGAAGUGGAAUUCCUGGUGUAGAGGUGAAAUUCGUAGAUAUCAGGAGGAACACCGGUGGCGAAGGCGGCUUCCUGGACCGAUACUGACGCUGAGACGCGAAAGCGUGGGGAGCAAACAGGAUUAGAUACCCUGGUAGUCCACGCCGUAAACUGUGAGCACUAGGUGUAGCGGGUAUUGACCCCUGCUGUGCCGACGCUAACGCAUUAAGUGCUCCGCCUGGGGAGUACGGCCGCAAGGUUAAA
RNAcentral lists this ribosomal RNA (395 nucleotides) under uncultured bacterium. RNAcentral's name for it is "bacterial SSU rRNA". It matches the Rfam family "Bacterial small subunit ribosomal RNA", at positions 505 to 898 of the family's 1533-position model. The record is from RNAcentral.